ACUCCUGUACAGGAUACCAGGCAUCGCAGUCUGUUUUUAGGGGAAUGCAGCCUUGGUAUUUAGAAAGCAGUACAGCUCCUUUGGUGGCUGUUUUCAGAGGCUGCCCAGUUGGACUGAAGAAAUGCUAAAUUGUUUUACCAUCUCCCGAAUUCCCAACACGCAUUUAUCUAGGUUUUCAAAAUGUGACAAAUAAAAACUACCCAAAAGACAUCUGUUCUACCUGAGAGUCCAUUAGCAUCUGAGAGGCCAUGGUACUCGGUGUUAUUAUCUACACGAGUAAAGAAUCAUCCGUCACAAUCAGUUUUACUUUUCAAAUGGUGCCUGAUAAAAUCCCUGCAGUCCACAUAACAAGCAAAAGGUCCAUUUAUUUUCAAGGCAACUUCCAUCAGCCAGCUAGCACAGGCAUUACAAUUAAACACAGACAACUCCCAUCAACCAGCUAGCACCCAGUGUAGACCUGCAGCCCCCUCUGGUGUACAGACAGCACAACUGCAUGCCAGUCAGUGAUGUGUUACGUACUGCCUAUUUAACCAAAGAUAUUCUGUUCCCAUCAGAACCCCGUGACACAACUAAACACUUCAACACUUCCUGUCUUUGGAUACUGUUUAUAAAACAAAAACACGUGUUCCAUAGUAGAGAGAUCAAUAUGAGCCGCAUAGAUUACUAGUGAGGAAUGCAACAGAGCCAAUUCCAAAAUCUAAGAAUGCGCACUUUGUACAGUAAUAAUAUAUACCUGUCACUGUAAAACGGAUGAGAAAUAGCAGUAGUGGAAAUGACAGGUGACUGCUGUGCAUUGGUAUUUGAACCCUUGUCGAAAUGGUUAAACAUUACAUUUGAGCAAUAUGUCAUUGCUACAUAUAUACAUACACGAGGGAAGCAGGUAUUGCAGAGUAAUCUAUUUAUUAAAGGUGGUCCAUCGAUUCUGCCCCUGUUUAGACUAGACCCCCAUCCAAGGGUUCAACUAAAUAGUCAAGCUGGUAGUGUGAGGCAGUGGGGGCUCGGCAGGAGUGUGAUCAUGUAAUGCGGGUGUUAGUGUGAGGGUGUGUGAUCAUGUGAUGCUGGUGUUAGUGUGAGGGUGUGUGAUCAUGUGAUGCUGGUGUUAGUGUGCAGGAGUGUGAUCAUGUGAUGCUGGUGUUAGUGUGAGGGGGUGUGAUCAUGUGAUGCUGGUGUUAGUGUGCAGGAGUGUGAUCAUGUGAUGCUGGUGUUAGUGUGAGGGGGUGUGACCAUGUGAUGCUGGUGUUAGUGUGAGGGUGUGUGAUCAUGUGAUGCUGGUGUUAGUGUGCAGGAGUGUGAUCAUGUGAUGCUGGUGUUAGUGUGAGGGGGUGUGAUCAUGUGAUGCUGGUGUUAGUGUGAGGGAGUGUGAUCAUGUGAUGCUGGUGUUAGUGUGAGGGAGUGUGAUCAUGUAAUGCUGGUGUUAAUGUGAGGGAGUGUGAUCAUUUAAUGCUGGUGUUAGUGCAGGAGUGUGAUCAUGUAAUGCUGGUGUUAAUGUGAUCAUUUAAUGCUGGUGUUAGUGCAGGAGUGUGAUCAUGUAAUGCUGGUGUUAAUGUGAUCAUUUAAUGCUGGUGUUAGUGUGAGGGAGUGUGAUCAUUUAAUGCUGGUGUUAGUGUGAGGGAGUGGGGGCUGUGCUGGAAUGUGAUUACGUGUGUAUGACUGGGGGGAGGGGUUGUUGCAGUUUGAAAAGGAUAUUGCAUUUCAGAAUCAAUGCUACACAAAGAAAAGUGGCGGAGCAGGCUUCCUCAGGAAAGAGCAGUCACUUCCUGGAAAAUAAGCAGGCUCCGAGUGAUAACCAGCCCUCCAGCCUUCCCACUCCCAGUCCAGCCCUGUGCAGGAAUCAAGCUGCGCACACAAGCUCACCCCGCUGCCUGCUCCAGCCCAGGGCGUUCUAGUAUCCAGCAGUGACUGUGUAAGAAAUCACUUUGUACUGGCAGGGACUGCGCGCUCACUGCCCCACGACAGUGCUUCACUAGCAGGGUACUUCAGACGUCCAUCACAAUGAACUUCUACAUCGUCCUUGUACUCGUGAGCCUACAUUUCAGAGGGGUUGAACUCCUGUCUGCGGUCACUAUAAACAAAGUGACACUUCAGAUUGACCCUUCCAGCCCUGUGCAAAGUGGCCGUAACAUUACCCUGACCUGCGCACUCGACAUCAGCACAGCCGAGCCCAGCCAGUCUCACCCACACCAGUACACCUUUUAUAAGGAGGACCAGAUUGUGUACACCAAGAAUGACACCAGCGACAGACUGCAGUACAAGAUCACAGCAGCUAGGGUGUUCCACUCAGCCAGCUACAGCUGUGAGGUCAGAGCUGAGGGGAAGAGGAAGGAAAGCAAUCAAGCAGCACUCCGGGUAACAGGUCUGCAGCAGCCUGUUCUGACUCUGAACCGCAACACAAUCCGAGAGGGCGAGGAGGUCGCUGUCCGCUGUGCUGCCCCCGAGGAACUAGGAUCCCUCAUCUUCAACUUUUACAAAAACUUGUCGAAAGGCCCGGUCAGAAAGCUCACCAGAGCUGUUAAUUUUGCCGAGACCACGUUUAAUUUUGAACCAGAAGAAAGAACCGCUAGCUUUUAUUGCACUUUCUCAGUGACCACGGUGCCUGAUGCUGGAGCGUCGCCCCCUAGUGCCGUGAGGAAUGUCACGAUAUCAGAAAUAUUGAAAAAUCCAAUCAUGGAUGUAAAACCGGCCCAGAAUGUAACUGAAGGAGACACUUUUGAGAUCAUCUGCAGGGCUGACGACUCGACCAGCAAUGCCAACCAGCAGAUAAUAUACCUGCGAAAGAAAAAAGACAUACUGACUUAUAAAACCGGCCGUGUAAAUUAUACCAGUACUGCUCACUCACAGGAUUCGGGGGACUAUGAGUGCAUCUCCGACUUGCACAAUGUGCAGAGAUCAACUAUAAAGACCCUUCGUGUGGCAGAGUUGUUUUCUAAACCAGUCUUGCUCGCUGAACAUCAUGAAAUAAACGAAGGCGCUCUGUUGAACGUGACCUGCUAUAGCAGGUACAGCACUCCACAGAACCUUUCCACUGCCCCGGGACUCAAGUAUGCACUUCUCAAGGAUGGCACUUUAAAAACAGCUGCCUCUGUCCAGUCAGGCUAUGUGAAUGAGAAAGCCUCUGCAGCCGAGGGAGGGCUUUACUCCUGCAAUGUGACUGCAAAGGGAAUAACCAAGAGCAGCGAACAGGUCCUUAUCAAAGUGUAUGUUCUAGUGACCAGUCCCACUCUGAGUAUAAUUGGAUCUUCAGAGGUCAUUGCUGGGAAGUCUGCUAGACUGAAGUGCCACUCUGAAAAGGGAUCGCCUCCCAUUACUUACGUCCUGCUGAGAGGCAACCAGACUGUGAGCAUCCUUGCAGUGAAGCAGGAGGUGGCCGUGUUCAACGUCACAAUGUCAAACACGGGCAGCACCCAAGAGUACAGGUGUGAGGCGCAGAACCGAGGAGCCAGCAGUGCCAAGCUCAGCAACGCAGUGCGAAUCACAGUCAUCGUUCCAGUAUCCAGUCCAACGCUGAGCAUGAUCCCAGGCAAGGAGGUGGUCUUUGAAGGGGAGGACCUGACUCUCAUUUGUGUCGUAGCUAACGCCACUUUACCCAUCACCUUUCAGUUCUUCAGGGAUGAAGAAGAGCAUCCUUUCCACUCCACAACCACAAAUUCCACCACAGCCUUUACCGAGUUUGGUGGCACAGAGCACAACGUAGGGUACUCGUGCCAAGCAUCAAACAAAGCCGGCACAAGCAGAAAGAGCAACCGAGUGUCUGUGACUGUAACAAUGGCCAUAUGGAAGAGAAUAUUAAUCGCCUUGUUUUGCAUCAUGAUUAUUCUGGGUGUAUUUGUCUUCUGCAUCGUUAGAUAUAAACUCAAACAGGCUAAAAAUGAGAGCAGCGUGGAAAUGGCAGGGUGAGUUUUUGUCUUUUGGGGAAAGUGUUUUGAAAAGCUCCGAGCAUACUGAUGCAGUGAGAAAUGUCUUUGAAUUAUCCAGCACUAAUACAGGCUCACAAACUGCUUGGUUUUCUCAAAAAACCAUCAAUGCACAAUAAUGCAGAAGCUGCAAAGCAAUGUUAAGGAAUUAUUUCAUGUUCAGCAGAACCAAAGACUGAAUGUAACGACAUGCAGUGUUAACCCAAAAAGAACAAAGAGCCUGAAAAGAAACUGCAGAAACUGUUCCCAUCUCCCAUUACUCACAAGCCCUGGCUCUCUAUUUUACAAGCACAAGCACUAAAGACAUGCUGAACCCGGGGCUCGCACCAUCAAUAAGUGCUUCAGUACAAGUGGAGACAGCUGUGUUUAGUUCAUGUGUAUGACUGACUGCCACCUUUUCCUGGAUAAUGAACUAUUUCAGUGUCUCUGUUCUAUUCACCAUAAGCACUGGAACAGUGACCGCUUCCUGUCUGGACUUUCUGUGUGCUCUUAUGGGACUUUCUGUGUGCCCUUGUAGAAAGUUACAAGGCAAGGGGGUCUAGUCCUCUCUCGUCGUUGUACAAUGAUCCUCAUCAGUCCAAGUUAGAAUACUGUUAGAAUACUGCUUUUUAAUGAAAAAUUAAAAACAAAUACUUCCUGGGUAAAGAUGCAAAGGCACAGUAAGAGUCUGAUAUUUUGUAGAUCACGUGUGUCAGUGAUCCGAGCGUCCUGUCCUGUACAUCACCAGCCACCCUGUUAUAU
RNA transcript from Acipenser ruthenus (sterlet), 4652 nucleotides. It is a transcript of the gene named platelet endothelial cell adhesion molecule-like, with no coding region annotated. The record is from RefSeq and is a predicted model, not a curated record. The transcript is spliced from 12 exons. Lineage: Eukaryota; Metazoa; Chordata; Actinopteri; Acipenseriformes; Acipenseridae.